AUGGCUUUAAGUCUUCUAGCUUGGAACACUGGUCUGGGGCCCGAGAAGACCUCCUUCUUCCAGGCUUUAGGCAUCACCACUAAAAUCUCCAGAGGCACCAUUGAAAUCCUGAGUGAUGUGCAGCUGAUUAAGACCGGAGACAAAGUGGGAGCCAGCGAAGCCACACUGCUGAACAUGCUGAACAUCUCCCCCUUCUCCUUUGGGCUGAUCAUCCAGCAGGUGUUUGACAAUGGCAGCAUCUACAACCCUGAAGUGCUUGACAUCACAGAGGAGACUUUGCAUUCUCGCUUCCUGGAGGGUGUCCACAAUGUUGCCAGCGUAUGUCUGCAGAUAGUUUACCCGACUGUUGGCAUCAGUGCCCCAUUCUAUCAUCAAUGGAUACAAGCGGGUCCUGGCUUUGUCUGUGGAGACUGAUUACACCUUCUCACUUGCUGAAAAGGUCAAGGCCUUCUUGGCUGAUCCAUCUGCGUUUGUGGCCGCUGCCCCCACUUCUGCACCUGCUGCCACCACGGCCCCAGCCAAGGUUGAAGCAAAGGAGGAGUCGGAGGAGUCAGACGAGGAUAUGGGAUUUGGUCUCUUCGACUAAUCACCAAAAAGCAACCAAUUCAGCCAAGUUUAUUUGUGAAACAAGGAAAUAAAGGCUU
Molecule: RNA transcript, 644 nt
Organism: Odobenus rosmarus divergens (Pacific walrus)
Lineage: Eukaryota; Metazoa; Chordata; Mammalia; Carnivora; Odobenidae
Gene name: 60S acidic ribosomal protein P0-like
Exons: 2
Source: RefSeq, a predicted model, not a curated record